This 72-nucleotide transfer RNA is filed under the name Camelus bactrianus (Bactrian camel). It matches the Rfam family "tRNA". From Rfam's summary of the family: Transfer RNA (tRNA) molecules are approximately 80 nucleotides in length. Their secondary structure includes four short double-helical elements and three loops (D, anti-codon, and T loops). Lineage: Eukaryota; Metazoa; Chordata; Mammalia; Artiodactyla; Camelidae. RNAcentral also lists the same sequence under 1 other name. The record is from Rfam by way of RNAcentral.
GAGGGUACAGCUCAGUGGUAGAGCAUGUGCUUAGCAUGCACAAGGUCCUGGGUUCAACCCCCAGUACCUCCC